This is a long non-coding RNA of Brassica rapa (field mustard), 485 nucleotides long. RefSeq lists it as uncharacterized. The record is from RefSeq and is a predicted model, not a curated record. Lineage: Eukaryota; Viridiplantae; Streptophyta; Magnoliopsida; Brassicales; Brassicaceae.
GCCUAAAAUGUACAAGAAAAGAGGAAUCUUUAUGAGAAUUUAAUUCAACAGAAGCUAUAAAACAGAGUGUGGAAGAGCCUAACACAAUCAUAUAUAUAAAAAAAAAAACAGACUGCUAUGAACACUAUGGUAACCAAAACCUUUUAUGAUUCAUGAUACAUGUAAGAGUGAAGAAGAGGCUAAAUAUUCAAGAAAAAAAGGAAGCUUUCAUUCAAUAAAAGCUAAUAGGCAACGUAGUAUAGGUUCAUCAAAGCUAAAACAGAGUGUGGAAGAGCCUAACGCAAAAAAAAAAACAGAGUCCUAUUAACACCACGGUAAACAAAAAACUGAAGGACCUAAAUAUCCAAGAAAAAUAGAAGCUUUAUGAGAUUUUUCAUUCAACAGAAGCUAAUAGACAACGUAAGAUAGGUCCAUCAAAGCUAAAACAGAGUGUGGCAGAGCCUGAGCCUAACACAUCACACAACAACAAAAGUACAGAGUGAUAU